CAUAGCAAAAACGGCCUCGUAAGAAGAAUAUUCAAAACUGCCCUGUUUUUACCGAUUUACCGUCACUUAAUUCGGACCUCUAAUCAGCUUCAAAACAUACUCUAACUCGAUACAAUUUUACACUUACCAAUAGUUUUCGAGGUCCUCUACGAGUUUUGUGAAGGAAUGAUUCCCAAAUUCUCACUCCAAACCCUCCAAAUUCUGCUCCGAAAACAGGUGCGGCAGCAAAUACUAUUUCCUUCAAGGUUCCGGCGAGCGGGCUGAACUUCUUGCCCAAUUCCGGAAACCACCGCCGAUUAAUACUACCGAGCUCCAACACCAAUGGAAGGCUAACAUCUCAAGGUUUCUAACCGUGUCCUGAUCGUCAAUAUUCAACCUCUAAGGCCUCCGAGCAAUUAAUUCUUCGAAGGACCAAAAGCUGAAAUCCGAUUCUAAGACAGCUUGUCUUCUUCGUCGGAUUCCGGCCACCACCGCCAAUCAUCUGAUGCGACCACCACCGGAGGCGAUCUGAUCAUAAUAGCCCCUUGAUAGAGCCUCCUUCACGCAGCCCUGAUUCUGCCAAUAAUUCGAAUUGGGGAUUUGCAAUUCCAACCUCAAAUUUGUUUCAUAUACCUCACUUCUUCAAACCUCUUCUUCAAUUCGAUUUCCACAAUUAAUUUCUGUGAUUCCAGCCAAGAAACGAGAGAGAGGAAGAGCCGAUGAUGAGAGAGAGAGAAAGAGAAAGCGAUGAGAGAGUGAGAAACUCUGAUUGAGCUUAUAAAGAAACGAAGAGAGGAGAAAUUGAUCGGAUAGGAAGAAGGAGGAUGACUCGUACGACACGCGUCUCUCUCCUAGUUUCCAUGGUUAAUAACACUUCAUUAUCCGAUUAAACAAGCUCGUUAAUUGCUUAAUGGCCAAGUUUGCUGAUUUAGAGAAUUAUUAUUAUGCUUAUGUCCCAAAAUUAUUACAUAAUAACACAUCAGCCCCCAAUUCUCAUUAUAAAGUACAAUAAACUCUCGCAUAAAUUACGGGGUGUUACAAUCUCCCCUCCUUAAAGGAAUCUGGUCCCCAGAUUCUCAACUAAUACUCGGACACGGGAAUAGUCUUCGAUAAUCAUCUUCUUGCUAACUUGUGGCUUCUUCAACUUGGUAGUUUCUCCGAAAUUCCUUUUAUGUCUUUUUGUCGAGGAAUUCGUCACCAAGAGGGAUAACCCUUACGUGGUUAGUCUCUAGAAAGUUGGUGCCGAAAUAAGAACCGAUCUCUAUUCAUAUGAUAAUUUAUCUUCACGCUAUGUCGUUUCGAGAAGCAAUAUUCAAGAUUGAUCGGUGGUGUUAGCUUAGUACGUACCUCGAAUUUACUACAAAUUUUCCAUAAGGUUGAGCUCCACUCCACGUAAAGAAAAAUAUUAUUGGCUACAUAACCUAUACAUUCUCAAGUUCGGAAAUGACUUGGAUAACGAGUAAACUCUUAUCGUAACUGAUUUGAAAAAAAAACUCGUUCAAAUACAACAUUAGGAUGUACUCUCAAUAUUCACGGGCUUAUUAGCAAUGUCGUCCAAAUCAUCGGUCCGGACUAGAUGUAAACCUUGCCGCCGAGCAACAUGCCUAAUAUAUAUAACGUUCUAAUACAUAAAGGUCGAGAUAUUGAUAGUCAACCAAUUAAUGUGACUUGUGAGGUACAUCAACUAUUAGGAAACAAUCGAGUUAAGGUUGUAGCUAGAAUGCUACAAAUGGUCUGACGAGGAAUAAGAGGGAUUGAUACGAACUCGAUAUCGAUCGAAGGUUCUAAGUAGCACCCUCAUUAUCCAUCGCAUUUUCCUUAGAAGAAUGUGUUUCUUCUCAUCCUUUUCGCUCGAACCUUUUCUUGAUGAGACAUACGAUAAUCCUAUCAAUUUAGACUAUGUACUCUUGUGGAACGUUCCUAUGCUCUUCUGACGAUCUUGUGCAUUCUUCGAUCUUAAUUUGAUAAGUCCAACUUUACCGAUAGCACCUGGUGUCAAUCUCCAAGCCCUUACGUUUGCCGUCGUUAGUUGUUCGUCGCUCAUCUAGUCUUGAAUUGCAAGCUCGAUUGAUACUUUAUCCCACGAACUACUGCGAAACUGUUUGUAUUGUCGCUUGCUUGAUAGUUGUCCUAAGUCAUCACGAUAAUUCGCGUUGUACGUCCUCAAUGUGUCCGGUCACCCGCUCAGACCAUAAGUUAAUUUUGGCGAACGUUUCUUAUACCGAGCCGGAAUUUGGUCCCAUAUUGUAGAUAGUUGCUUCCAUAACAACGAGAUGACUUAUAAUCUAUAUAGAGAUAAUGUGAGUUAGCUACAAGAGAUAGAUUUCGGAUCUAAAUUAUCUUCAGGAGACAAAGAGGCAACUACUUUUCCGGUCCACAAAAAUUCUCUUCUCAUUGCUCUACAUAAAGUGGAAUUGAGUGCACCACAAUUACAAUCAAAGAGGACGAGCAAGCCUGAUUUACUUAUUAUAUCAACAUUGGAGACUAGAAUAGCUUGAUUAUAGACGGCGUUCGCAAGGAAAAGGUUUUCGAACAGUAGAUCGACCAGGAAACGGUUGAUGGAAGAGAGAUUUACUUCUAAAAUCAAGAGUAAUCGAAGAUGGCAACGGUUGAUACAAUCUUCCCGUGGUUUCGCAACCGCAUGCCUAAUAAAUACUUAUCGUAGAGAAGUCAUGACUCAGAAUAUCCGACAAUUGAGUAGCCUUAAUUCAUUCAAUUCACUACCAUUUCAAGAUAGGUCAACUAGUCUAAUGUCAUUCUUCGAUACUAAGUACGCUCUAAUCACGUCCGAAACAGUAUACACACUAUGUCUAGUAAUGUCCAUGGUGAAUUACUUCAACCAAACGACAUGACGGGCAAACCUUCUUUAUAGCAAGUUGAACAUGCAAGCCGAAAUCUUGCAGUUGUCGUUCCCAUCUUACAAAGAAAAGUGCAAUCAUCUACGGUGUUAUUGACAAAGGUGUUCUACUUUAAACUUCUUCUCCACAUAGCACUUAGCUCUUGAUAUUAACCGAAUAGAAUUGCAAAAACUGAUAAUCCAAUGUUAAGAUAUAGCUGACUUAUCGGACACUAGGGACUCUAGAGGUGGCUCAUGCAAGAUUAAGAGGUGGCUCCCGUUGGGUAGCACUUUGCCCUGCAUAGCACUUAGCUUCCUGUACCCUGACGAUUAGAAUCAAGAAUUCAAAAUGCUCAAGAUACUUUAAGAGUCAACAAACUCUAUAGAAUUUCUAAGUCGUGAUAACUACAUAACCUUUUUCCGUUGAGUAAAAUAAUCGUCGAAAUUAUUCUAGGUCGAAUCCAUAAGAUGAUAUACCAAUAGAUGCAUACACCUGUAGUCAUAUUACAUGACAUUGCCCAAACAAGGUCCAUACUUUUACCCUGAAUUAACAAUAAUCAUGGUCUAUGAGUGAGAGGGAACAAAUAGAAGCGACAUAAAGAAGUCGAAUCACAGGGUUUCAAAGGGAUAAGAAACCUCACAUAAUAGGAUAUCCAAAUCGAGAAGUAUUCAAUGAGAUGAGGAAUCUCAAAAAAAAAAAAAAAACGGAACAAGGAAAUCGAGGCAUUCAAACGAGAUCAAAUACCUCACUCGUGAUCCAUAAUGGAAAGGACGUAAGAUAGUCAAGCAAUAUUGUAUUCAAAGAAUCAGAAACCUGAGAAAGUAGGUAACCGAGAUGCCAAGUAUUGAAAUGAGAUAAGGAGUUUUGAAAUGAGAUAUGGGAUUUCCAUUGUGAUCAAUAAUAACAAUGGAACAAUACAUGUACAAGACUUGAAUUUUGAGGCCAAAAUAACAAGAACCUCAAAAUAGGUAGAAAGAUUGAUCCGAUAUCAGAAUCAUAACAAAUGGUAUAACCAAAUCAAACGAGAAUAGGGACCUCAAAGGUACGUGACCAAAAUCACGAGAUAUUCAAGAAAAUUGGAAUAUUGAAAAAUGUAGUAGUAUAGAUUAAGUAAAGCAAUAUUCGAGGAAAUAAAAAGUCUCGACAAAUAGAUUAGCCGAAACUAUAGAGUGUUCAAAGAGAUACAAAACCUCACAAUCAGGUAGAUGAUCAAAGCAGAUGGUAAUAGAAUAAAGUAAGAAGCCUCACAAGAACAUGGCCAAAGUCAUGACGUAUUCAAAUAAUUGGAACACUAAAGAUGAAGUGAACUGAAUAAGAAGUCUCGGCAAAUAGAUAAGCCAAAACCAUAGAAUAUUUAAAAAGGAAAGAAGGUGGAGAUGGUAGCACAAUAAGGUAAGGGCUUCAAAACAAGGGAUAAUCCAAUCCACACGGUAUUUAAAGGGGUACGAAACCUCAUAAAAUUUGUAACUAAGACUAUGAGGUAUUAAAAUGAGAUAAGAGAAUCGAUUACAAACAACAAAUGAAAUUAGACAAUAUAGGCGAACGAAGCAAAAUCGAAUUCAGUGGAAUGAUAAGGAGUGAACAAAAGAACUCCCGAAUAUUUGGUUCACCGUAAUUCAAUACUCAAAACGAGAUAAUAGGGUUUGGAUAAGGAAGUCAAGUUAUGAAGUAAAAAGGAAUGGGAUAUCUGCAAAAAAGGUAUUACCAAAUUCAAGUGAGACUAGGAACCUCACUCGUGACAAACAACAUCGGAGAAUUGGAAGCCAAUUGAAGUAACAAAAAGAACCAAGAAUCCCAUCGUGUAUGACAUAUAUUUGUACGGGGUAUUCUUCACUAUCUAUAUCAGUAAUAGACGCUAAAGUAUUAUCUCAACGCCUCUAAUACUCGAUUACUACCAAUCUUCUCAAUUUCCCAAGAUUCAAUUCAUACCUCUACAAUUAUCAAAAAAUCCCUUUUUCCAUCAUCGCCCGGACAUCCAACCCAAAGCUACCAAGGCUCUGAUACCACCUGUAGCGCCCCGCCCCGAGUAGCAGGCACCUCGUGGCGGAACACCACUCAACAUGCAGUACAUUCAAUGACCCCAAAUAUGCUCCUCCAAAUUUGCGAUUAUCAAAAUAUUAAACCCCAAUAUCUAUACCAUCUUGUUUACAAAAGGGGAUUCUAUUACAAGUCGACUUCGACACUAAUUACUCAAUUACAAAAUUCUCGAUCAAAGGAUUCCUAUACGGAACAUAAAUAGAGAUACCUCUCGACGAGACUAAUCGGAGGCAUACACGAGCUUUAACUCUUAGUACGAAAAUUUAGGUCUAAGUCUUUCUUUUACCUGCGCAUUAAUAUCAGAAAGGAGAAACAAAUAAGUCCGAAUGACUUAGUGAAAAACAUAUGAUCCAUGAGUAUGAUGAGAAUCAACAGAACAGAACAUAUAACGAGAGACUUUACAAGAAUUUCAUUAACAGAAGUGUAACAUGAAGUGUAACAUGUACAAGAGUGUAACAUGUACGGCUUGAGUUCAAUAUUUGGUGGGGUCUCCAACCUUGUAACUCCCAACAAAUAAAAUCAUAUCACAUCCUUAUCCCUCCAAUCCGUCCCGAGUGGCCACUCGGACGGAAACAGGCAGGAGGCACGACCGGAACGUGCCGAUCCGGCUCAGGAACGUUUAACUCCAAACGAACGUGAGUCCGAACCAUCAGGAGGUACCAUUCGGGAGACCAGUCAUCGUCAGCCCAAUACUGCCCGAUCGUCUUGCCGAAAUGGUCCUAGGGCCCAGCUCCCCCAAGAGCGUCCUCAAGGGUGGGGACAGUAGGUUCAAGAAUCAAUAUUAUUCCUUUUAGGAAUAUCAAGUCAUUAAUUUCAAGAAUCAAGUCAAUCAUUCACAAGAUAAGUCACGAUCACGAUAAUUGAAUAUCAAGUCUCAGGAUAAUGAACAUGUUCAGAUUUCAAUUCAAGCCAAUGAAGAAUUGUCGUGAAUAUGGAAUUCAAGAACAACAAUAAGUUCCAUGUCAGGUUCCAAGAACGAGUAUAUCAAGAUCUCAAUGAAUUCAAUAAACAUGAGAUUCAAGUUCGAGCCAACAAAAUAUUUAUUCUCGGAAAGCAUUCAAGACAAGAUUUUGAGAAUAAAUAUAGUUCAAUAUCGAUUCAAGGAAAAUGUUCAGGCCAGGGAAUCAAGUAUAGGAAUUAGCCGUGAACAUAGCAACCAAGAGAAUUGACAAGUUCAAGAUUUCAAGAACAAGAUCAAGGUUCCAAGUUCGAGCCAAGGAAACGAAUAUGCUCACAGAACAUUAAAGGUCAUAUUCCAAGAAAAAAUAUAAUCAAUGCAUCAAAGGAUUCAAGAUGGAGAAUAUAUUUGGUUUAAACAAAGGAGAUAUUAAGCGCAGGAAAGAAAUCGGAUAAGGGGUCAUAGUUUCUCACCUGGAGUCCAACGCUAGUGCAAAGCUAGUGCUAUAGAAGUGCUAUAGAAGCAUCUUUAAGCUUAAACCUUGAGUGAGAGCUUUAGUACGCUCGACACCUAUAAACAUAUUCAUCACUUAACAAGAUUCCAAAUGCUAAUAUAAUCGUAUUAUUCUACUAUAUCACAUAGUCAAUUUCUUAAACAUAUACUAAGAAUUGCUUCUCACGGCAAUUUAUUCAAAUAAUCAUUGCGAUCAUCGUACUUAUCCGAAUGACCUAAAAGAUAUAUAAAGUUAAAGAUAACAUCUGUAUCUACAAUUUUACUAAAGACUUUAAUCCCAAAUUAACAACAUAACCCGUCAAUAAAAACCCCGAAAGAUGAAUACAUAAACCUGCCAGAUUUUCGGAUAAUUUCGUUUACUGUCACAGCUUAUUCGAACAAUCGUUACGAUCACCUUACUUAUCCGAAUAACCUAAACGAUAUAUCGAAUUAAAUAUAACAUCAGUGUCUACAGAUUUACUGAAGACCCUGAGCCCAAAUUACCGACCUAACACAGUAAUAACAGCCACGGAAGAUGAGUACAUGAAACUGCCAGGUUUUUUUUUGGAAAAUUCGUUGUUGGCACAGUUUGUUUGAAAAAUCAUAACAAUUAGCAUGCUAAUCCAAAUUGAUCACAUGAUACGUCAAAUGAAAGCUAACAGAAAAUUCUGCGAGUUCACAGAAGGCUUUAGUCCCAAAUUCGGAACCGAAAAUAGCAGAAACAGCCUCAAACCAGCAUUACAGAACUGCCGGGAUUUUGGAAAGAUUACUUCUGGUACAGCUUAUUGUAAAAUUCAUAACUAUUUGUAAAGUUAUCCAAAUUGUCCAAACAAUACACCAAAUUGAACCUUACAAUGUAAACUACAAGUUCUCAGAAGACACACAACCCAAAUUAUUAGCUCAACAUAGCAAAAACGGCCUCGUAAGAAGAAUAUUCAAAACUGCCCUGUUUUUACCGAUUUACCGUCACUUAAUUCGGACCUCUAAUCAGCUUCAAAACAUACUCUAACUCGAUACAAUUUUACACUUACCAAUAGUUUUCGAGGUCCUCUACGAGUUUUGUGAAGGAAUGAUUCCCAAAUUCUCACUCCAAACCCUCCAAAUUCUGCUCCGAAAACAGGUGCGGCAGCAAAUACUAUUUCCUUCAAGGUUCCGGCGAGCGGGCUGAACUUCUUGCCCAAUUCCGGAAACCACCGCCGAUUAAUACUACCGAGCUCCAACACCAAUGGAAGGCUAACAUCUCAAGGUUUCUAACCGUGUCCUGAUCGUCAAUAUUCAACCUCUAAGGCCUCCGAGCAAUUAAUUCUUCGAAGGACCAAAAGCUGAAAUCCGAUUCUAAGACAGCUUGUCUUCUUCGUCGGAUUCCGGCCACCACCGCCAAUCAUCUGAUGCGACCACCACCGGAGGCGAUCUGAUCAUAAUAGCCCCUUGAUAGAGCCUCCUUCACGCAGCCCUGAUUCUGCCAAUAAUUCGAAUUGGGGAUUUGCAAUUCCAACCUCAAAUUUGUUUCAUAUACCUCACUUCUUCAAACCUCUUCUUCAAUUCGAUUUCCACAAUUAAUUUCUGUGAUUCCAGCCAAGAAACGAGAGAGAGGAAGAGCCGAUGAUGAGAGAGAGAGAAAGAGAAAGCGAUGAGAGAGUGAGAAACUCUGAUUGAGCUUAUAAAGAAACGAAGAGAGGAGAAAUUGAUCGGAUAGGAAGAAGGAGGAUGACUCGUACGACACGCGUCUCUCUCCUAGUUUCCAUGGUUAAUAACACUUCAUUAUCCGAUUAAACAAGCUCGUUAAUUGCUUAAUGGCCAAGUUUGCUGAUUUAGAGAAUUAUUAUUAUGCUUAUGUCCCAAAAUUAUUACAUAAUAACACAUCAGCCCCCAAUUCUCAUUAUAAAGUACAAUAAACUCUCGCAUAAAUUACGGGGUGUUACAAUCUCCCCUCCUUAAAGGAAUCUGGUCCCCAGAUUCUCAACUAAUACUCGGACACGGGAAUAGUCUUCGAUAAUCAUCUUCUUGCUAACUUGUGGCUUCUUCAACUUGGUAGUUUCUCCGAAAUUCCUUUUAUGUCUUUUUG
RNAcentral lists this long non-coding RNA (8308 nucleotides) under Erythranthe guttata (spotted monkey flower). Its description in RNAcentral is "long non-coding RNA (EGUT_LNC003146)". The record is from RNAcentral. Lineage: Eukaryota; Viridiplantae; Streptophyta; Magnoliopsida; Lamiales; Phrymaceae.